Molecule: ribosomal RNA, 399 nt
Filed under: uncultured bacterium
Lineage: Bacteria
Description: bacterial SSU rRNA
Rfam family: Bacterial small subunit ribosomal RNA
Source: RNAcentral
AUUGAACGCUGGCGGCAUGCCUUACACAUGCAAGUCGAACGGCAGCACGGGAGCAAUCCUGGUGGCGAGUGGCGAACGGGUGAGUAAUAUAUCGGAACGUGCCCGGUCGUGGGGAUAACGUAGCGAAAGCUACGCUAAUACCGCAUACGAUCUACGGAUGAAAGCGGGGGAUCGCAAGACCUCGCGCGAUUGGAGCGGCCGAUAUCAGAUUAGGUAGUUGGUGAGGUAAAGGGCUCACCAAGCCGACGAUCUGUAGCUGGUCUGAGAGGGACGACCAGCCACACUGGGACUGAGACACGGCCCAGGACUCCUACGGGAGGCAGCAGUGGGGAAUUUUGGACAAUGGGCGCAAGCCUGAUCCAGCAAUGCCGCGUGCAGGAUGAAGGCCUCGGUUGUAAC